AGAAUCAACGCUGGCGGCGUGCCUAACACAUGCAAGUCGAACGAGAAAGUGGUAGCAAUACCAUGAGUAAAGUGGCGCACGGGUGAGUAACACGUGACUAACCUACCCUUGAGUGGGGGAUAACUGAGGGAAACCUUAGCUAAUACCGCAUAAUACCCACGGGUCAAAGGAGCAAUUCGCUCGAGGAGGGGUCGCGGCCGAUUAGUUAGUUGGCGGGGUAAUGGCCCACCAAGACGAUGAUCGGUA
Molecule: ribosomal RNA, 246 nt
Filed under: uncultured bacterium
Lineage: Bacteria
Description: partial small subunit ribosomal RNA
Rfam family: Bacterial small subunit ribosomal RNA
Source: RNAcentral